RNAcentral lists this ribosomal RNA (378 nucleotides) under uncultured Actinomycetes bacterium. Its description in RNAcentral is "bacterial SSU rRNA". It matches the Rfam family "Bacterial small subunit ribosomal RNA", at positions 114 to 507 of the family's 1533-position model. The record is from RNAcentral. Lineage: Bacteria; Bacillati; Actinomycetota; Actinomycetes.
CACGUGGGUGAUCUGCCCUGCACUUCGGGAUAAGCCUGGGAAACUGGGUCUAAUACCGGAUAUGACUUCAGGUUGCAUGACUUGGGGUGGAAAGAUUUAUCGGUGCAGGAUGGGCCCGCGGCCUAUCAGCUUGUUGGUGGGUAAUGGCCUACCAAGGCGACGACGGGUAGCCGACCUGAGAGGGUGACCGGCCACACUGGGACUGAGACACGGCCCAGACUCCUACGGGAGGCAGCAGUGGGGAAUAUUGCACAAUGGGCGAAAGCCUGAUGCAGCGACGCCGCGUGAGGGAUGACGGCCUUCGGGUUGUAAACCUCUUUCAGCAGGGACGAAGCGCAAGUGACGGUACCUGCAGAAGAAGCACCGGCUAACUACGUG